RNAcentral lists this ribosomal RNA (600 nucleotides) under Levilactobacillus brevis. RNAcentral's name for it is "bacterial SSU rRNA". It matches the Rfam family "Bacterial small subunit ribosomal RNA", at positions 117 to 703 of the family's 1533-position model. The record is from RNAcentral. Lineage: Bacteria; Bacillati; Bacillota; Bacilli; Lactobacillales; Lactobacillaceae.
GUGGGAAAUCUGCCCAGAAGCAGGGGAUAACACUUGGAAACAGGUGCUAAUACCGUAUAACAACAAAAUCCGCAUGGAUUUUGUUUGAAAGGUGGCUUCGGCUAUCACUUCUGGAUGAUCCCGCGGCGUAUUAGUUAGUUGGUGAGGUAAAGGCCCACCAAGACGAUGAUACGUAGCCGACCUGAGAGGGUAAUCGGCCACAUUGGGACUGAGACACGGCCCAAACUCCUACGGGAGGCAGCAGUAGGGAAUCUUCCACAAUGGACGAAAGUCUGAUGGAGCAAUGCCGCGUGAGUGAAGAAGGGUUUCGGCUCGUAAAACUCUGUUGUUAAAGAAGAACACCUUUGAGAGUAACUGUUCAAGGGUUGACGGUAUUUAACCAGAAAGCCACGGCUAACUACGUGCCAGCAGCCGCGGUAAUACGUAGGUGGCAAGCGUUGUCCGGAUUUAUUGGGCGUAAAGCGAGCGCAGGCGGUUUUUUAAGUCUGAUGUGAAAGCCUUCGGCUUAACCGGAGAAGUGCAUCGGAAACUGGGAGACUUGAGUGCAGAAGAGGACAGUGGAACUCCAUGUGUAGCGGUGGAAUGCGUAGAUAUAUGGAA